GCCUUUGGGGUAUAAUUAGAAACCACAUUCGACUAGCAUUCGGAUGACUCUGAGUUCGAAUCUCAGUGAGGACA
This 74-nucleotide transfer RNA is filed under the name Stegodyphus mimosarum. It matches the Rfam family "tRNA". Rfam says of the family: Transfer RNA (tRNA) molecules are approximately 80 nucleotides in length. Their secondary structure includes four short double-helical elements and three loops (D, anti-codon, and T loops). Lineage: Eukaryota; Metazoa; Arthropoda; Arachnida; Araneae; Eresidae. The record is from Rfam by way of RNAcentral.